GGUCUCAUGAGAGCAGAGUAGAGGGGCAGAAUCACCUCCCUUGACCUGCUGGUCACACUUCUCUUGAUGCAACCCAGCAUAUGGUUGGCUUUCUGGUCUGCAAGUGCACAUUGCCAGCUCAUCUAAGAACCAUAGGUUCUUAAGAAAACUUGCGCUAUUUUCUCAUUUUCUAAUUUUGACAAAGCUAUCACCCUUGUAUUAAGAAGAGUGCAAGUAAAAGUGUAUGCUGUGGUUUCAUGUGGGCUGAGAUUUCUGGAAAAGAAGGCAAAUGAAGCACAAAUAUGAUAUCCAUGCUAUUGCAGAUAGGUAGGAACAACACAUGGCCACACAUCUUAGGGCUAUCAUUCCUUAAAGCAGAUACUCUGUGUGCGCAAAUGUGCAUUUAAUUCUUCAUGCUGUGGGAUUCUCCCUACUCUUACAGUCACAAAAACAACAAUUACUUUGAGGAUAGGGGAUGUUACUGAACAAAGUGCCUGAAGUAACCGGAAUGUUGUACUGCACCCCACCAAAAUGAUGUUUUCAUACAAGGACUCUGGGGUAGAUGUUACAUGCUAUGGGAUUUGGUACGCAUGCCUGCUCUUGUUUAGAAUGGCAAUAUGUGUGUUUAUAUUUAGUGCCCCAUACUCACAUUCUGUAGUGCUAAUUUCUGCUGUGUUGGGAAGAAAGGGAAUGAGACUUGUGCCAGAAAUGGGUCGUUAAUAUUUACUCUCGAAAGAAAGAAAUUAGAUAGUAUGUAUUUGCUUAUUUCAUUUGAUUUAAAACUUUACUAACCCUCUUUGUAUAAUUGUAAGUUGUAUUUGAAAUAACUGGACUGAUAUUACGAAGUGGCUUUGUUUGGUCCAUUUUACUGCUUAAGGUGAUAAUGGAUAAAAAAGAUGGAGGAAAUUUUCCUUUAAUUAUUCACCAAGUGAAAUUCAUUUUGGUGCAGAUGGCCAAUGAAAUCUUGAGGAAUAUAUCACCUAACUCCUGUUUCAAGAACUCCAGAAGAGGAACAUGAACAAAUCAUUUGGAACAUACAGGUUUUUUGGCUCUUUCUGGACAAAACAAUUAUUAGAUGGUUGCCUCCUAGAGUGUUUAUCAGAAUAAGAAUACAUGUGUGAGCAAGAUCUGCAAGAACAGGCUGGCAUUUUGAAGAACCUAAUGGUGAUUAAACUGAUGUUCUGCCAUCAGAAAGUUAGCUCAGCUGAGUGGGGUUUCCCCAUCUUUCCUCUCCAAAGAACAGCCAUUCUUUGAGCAUGUCUGACAGAAAGGAGUAUGGCUAACUGAUUCAGCUAGCUGACAGCUUCUGACACUGCCAAGUGAGGUUUGUUGCAAAUUGCCUGAUUUAGGGCUGCCCUUCGUGCCUGUUUCCCAUAUCUGUGUUGUUGUCUGCCAAGAGCUGAAUAAUCUGGCCAUAAGUAACAAAAACAUAUUUUAUAGAUCUCAUUUCAUGUUGCAAUAUGCUUUUGUCAUAUUCUUUUGCGGCCUUAACUGAAAAAUGAAAAUCUGUGGAGAACAAGUGAAACUUACAGUGUGUCCUGGGAAUGAGAAGUUCCAGAGUUUUUGAACUGGGUGAGAUCUCAAUUAGAGGCUUCAAAACUACUGAGAGUGCAAGCCAGUGAAAACAAAUGAAAGGCAAUUAAAUUGGACUCUCCUAGUUUGAGCACUCCCUGUGAUCUCUGUUGUUGCUUUGUGCCACAGAUGUUGAGGCAGUCUCAGAAGUAAUUCUUACCAUUUAAGGCUCUUAAGAUUAAAACCAGCUUUUUCUCAUAGAGAAAGUUACUAACUGGUGAAGACAGAGAAGUAUGAAAAUAUGUUCUCUAUAGAGGAGUACCCCAUAUCAAGCACUGACGCACUGUGCAGCAACUGCACUCGGUAGGGGUCUGAGGAGUGCGUUACAGCAAUGAGAAGGGCAAGGACAGAGCACAGCUACAGGGGUUGCAUCAGGAACACCUGCACAAGGUAUUCCUUUCUUCUAACUGGAAUGAAUUUGAAGACCAUACAUUUUGAAUCAACCAUAAGAUUUUGAGCAUCUCUCAUUUAUCUCAGUCAAUAAUGCAUCUGCAUUUUCUCCAUCAUCUGUUCUGUGUUGCUGUGGUGUCCAUGAGCAAUAUCAAGCUGGAUGUCCUUCCAGGGAACUGUUCCCAGCCAUAGUUCCUGGAUCAGUUGUCUGAUCUUCCCAAAAUCUCCUUGUUGUUUCCCCAUAUGAUAUCAGCAUAACAUACCUUGUAGCUGCAUGUAAUGAUUUUUGCCAAAGGCAACAUACUGAAUCGAGCUUCACCCACCCAGAGGAGUCACUGAGUCCGAGCACUGCAUCAGCCAUCCGGCAAAGGAAUUGAAGACGUGAGAGAUGGAAGAAACAAUUGGUCAUCUAAUCUCUUUUUGUAUUUUUGCUGGUCUUGUUGCCAGGGAGAUACUGUAUUAAAAGGAGCGGCCUACAUAGUCACUUCAUGUACAAGCUGCCUCAUUGUAAAAACAGCAUUUAAAAAUAAAGUUUAAAAAUACUUGUA
This is a long non-coding RNA of Numida meleagris (helmeted guineafowl), 2489 nucleotides long. RefSeq lists it as uncharacterized. The transcript is spliced from 2 exons. The record is from RefSeq and is a predicted model, not a curated record. NCBI's taxonomy places the organism in Eukaryota, Metazoa, Chordata, Aves, Galliformes, Numididae.